CUGCUGGACGGACAGCAGAGCUGCGCUGAGACGCCGUGUUCUGACCCGGUUUUAGGAAACGUAUCGCUGUUUUUGGUCCCGUCAGGUUCCGGUAGAUCCUCGCCGAUUCUCCAGACGACGUCAUCCACAUCAGUCACAUGACCCACAGCACCUUCCAGGUGGGAACGGGCCUGUGGAUCCCGACAAAACCGGGUCAGGAUCGGGUUUGUGUGGUGGUGAUGGAGGCGGUUUGUUCCUGUGUUCAUGCAGAUGAUGAUGAUGAUGAGCUGUUUGUGCUGCGGAGGAACUGAAGGGCUGCAGAUCGCUCCGUCUGGAGCCAUGAAGCUCCACGGUCUGCAGCGAUGCUGCGAGGCGAUGCUGUGAGUGUGUACCGGGUCGCCAUGGUACCGAAACACAAGUCCAACCCUCCAGAACCGCAGCAGAAUGUUCUGAAGCUGACUGGAUGAAGCUUUGAUCUUCUGCUCAAAACCAAAGAGGCGUUUUUAUUUCUGGACCUCAGUGAAACGUGUUCUCUCUGAACCAGUUCCUAUGGAUUCGGUUCUGGUUCUCCCUGCGUCUCUGCAGCGUCACACAGCGGCUGAGCUCUGCCGGUUCUGUGAGGGAUUCUUCCUGCAGAAUCUGGACCGGCUGCUGGACAGAGAGGACUUCCACCGGCUGUUGCUAGGCGACACCAGUAAGGGAGGGCCGUCUGGGUCGGGACGGGACCAGAACCCGGACCUCCUGCCGGUUCUGAGGAGCCUGGAAGCGGCGCUGAUCCACAGACUUUCUGAGCUGCAUGUUGCAUGUAGAGGGCAGAAGUUCUGACCGGAUGGACCGGAUCGUCUCUGGUUGGUACCACAAACAAACAUCUGGUUCUACUUUUCACAUCUGCAUUUCAUCUGAAGCAGGUUCUGAUCGGUAAAAUAUCUACAACAUAAAACCCGGUUAAACCUCCAACCGUCCUCUAAUGACUCUCUACUGUUACAGUAAAGUUUCCUUCUGCUUAUUACGUCUAAACAUUUUAAUUCACACCUUUAUUUUUCAUUCAAGCUGCUCCUUUUCCAUGUUCAUGAAUGGAAAAGUUGCAGCUGCAACGAUUUUGCACCAGUUUGAAUUUAUUGCUGUUUGGUAUUUUAAAUAAUCUGAAUUAUCAUCAUGGUUCAUGAAAGAUGACCCAGCUGGUUAUUAGGUUUACUUUUACACAAAGCGCAGAUUAAUAAACUACUACAUAAUAUUAACACUUUAAAUGUUGGGAUCAAUCACAUCGUUAACAAUCCCAGUUAUUAGAAAUAAUUUCCCAUCGUGCCGUUUUCACUCACUCAGUUAAAACUGAAUAUUUCUGAAUAAAUAAACUACAUGAAGUAUGAAACCUGCCAAAGUCAACAGAUUUAUUCCUUUAGCACUGAAUUUGUUCACAGUAACAUCACAAGGGAAUACAUUGCCAGUGGUUCUCCUGCUCCGAGUCCGUUCAGUGUGCUCUGGAUUCCCGCGGUAGAAAAAGCGAAGGAUGGAAGGUAUUGCUUUAGGUUUCCUCUGAACCGAGUCCGUCUCCGAGAAACAUGAGUGAUUAGGAUGCAAGUUUACUGUGUGCUUACAGUAAUCAGAUAUAAAGGGGAGGAAGGAAGAGGCUGGCAAAAGAAUGAAUUAAUAUCAAAAAUAACAAAUCUGAAGGUAAAAUUAAUGAGAAAGCUCAGAUAAAAAAAUGCAUAAAAACCUAGACACAAAAAGGGAACGGGUGAACAUUUCAACAGCGACAUGCAAAGAAAAGACGAAUGCUGAACAUGCAAACAACCGUACGAGGUCAAAGGUCAAAGCUAAGAUCAGGAAUCCCCCUGGUUUUUUAAAUAAGCUCGUCAGGAAAACUGCUUCUUUACACGAUGAAUGUUUGAGUCUUCAUUCGCCCAACAGAUGGGGUUUCCUCCCAAAGAGGCUAAAUCUACAUUCUUAAAUACAACAAAUCAGUUUCAAACAUAUAUUACAAAGUUUCUCUCCUCAAAAAAACAACAAGAAAAACAAACAGGGAAAAGAAAAAAUAAAUUAAAAAUGACAAAAAUAUCUUUAAAUAAUCAAUUUCAGGAACAUUCUCUACAUCUUUGAUAUAAAUAACU
This is a long non-coding RNA of Xiphophorus hellerii (green swordtail), 2087 nucleotides long. RefSeq lists it as uncharacterized. Lineage: Eukaryota; Metazoa; Chordata; Actinopteri; Cyprinodontiformes; Poeciliidae. The transcript has 2 exons. The record is from RefSeq and is a predicted model, not a curated record.